Molecule: ribosomal RNA, 932 nt
Filed under: Syntrophaceae bacterium enrichment culture clone L35B_12
Lineage: Bacteria; Pseudomonadati; Thermodesulfobacteriota; Syntrophia; Syntrophales; Syntrophaceae
Description: bacterial SSU rRNA
Rfam family: Bacterial small subunit ribosomal RNA
Source: RNAcentral
AGAGUUUGAUCAUGGCUCAGAACAAACGCUGGCGGCGUGCUUAACACAUGCAAGUCGUACGAGAAAGUCCGCUUCGGCGGAUGAGUAAAGUGGCGCACGGGUGCGUAACACGUGGGUAAUCUGCCCUUCAGUGGGGAAUAACACGCCGAAAGGCGGGCUAAUACCGCAUAAUACCGUUUCCACCCCGGUGGGACGGUCAAAGACAGCCUCUGUUUACAAGCUGUCGCUGAAGGAUGAGCCCGCGGCCUAUCAGCUAGUUGGUGGGGUAAUGGCUCACCAAGGCUGUGACGGGUAGCUGGUCUGAGAGGAUGGCCAGCCACACUGGAACUGAGACACGGUCCAGACUCCUACGGGAGGCAGCAGUGGGGAAUCUUGGGCAAUGGGGGCAACCCUGACCCAGCGACGCCGCGUGAGUGAGGAAGGUCUUCGGAUCGUAAAGCUCUGUCGGAUGGGAAGAAAUGUGUGGAAGUGAACAGCUUCCAUGCUUGACGGUACCAUCAGAGGAAGCACCGGCUAACUCCGUGCCAGCAGCCGCGGUAAUACGGGGGGUGCAAGCGUUGUUCGGAAUCAUUGGGCGUAAAGGGCGUGUAGGCGGCUGGAUAAGUCAGAUGUGAAAUCCCUGGGCUUAACCCAGGAAGUGCAUUUGAAACUGUCCGGCUUGAGUGAGGGAGAGGAAAGUGGAAUCCCUGGUGUAGAGGUGAAAUUCGUAGAUAUCAGGAGGAACACCGGUGGCGAAGGCGACUUUCUGGCCCUAUACUGACGCUGAGACGCGAAAGCGUGGGGAGCAAACAGGAUUAGAUACCCUGGUAGUCCACGCUGUAAACGAUGUUCACUAGGUGUUGGGGGUAUUGACCCCCUCAGUGCCGUAGCUAACGCAUUAAGUGAACCGCCUGGGGAGUACGGUCGCAAGACUAAAACUCAAUGAAUUGACG